GGGCGAUUAGCUCAGGGGGGGAGCGCUUCCUUGACGCGGAAGAGGUCAGUGGUUCGAAUCCACUAUCGCCCACCA
This 75-nucleotide transfer RNA is filed under the name Actinomycetota bacterium. Its description in RNAcentral is "tRNA-Val". It matches the Rfam family "tRNA". Rfam says of the family: Transfer RNA (tRNA) molecules are approximately 80 nucleotides in length. Their secondary structure includes four short double-helical elements and three loops (D, anti-codon, and T loops). Lineage: Bacteria; Bacillati; Actinomycetota. The record is from RNAcentral.